CGACGUACGCCCCGCGUACGCGGGAACGCCCCGCGUACUCCGGAAGUGUCGACACUUCGGAUGACGCAUGCAGUGACGAUUCGGAGCCCUGUACGCCCCGCGUACAGGCGUACGCCCCGCGUUCGUGCGAGGGUCCAGCACUAUAAAAGGGGAUCCGAAGGCAGCCAAAAUUCUUGUUCAUUUCUUCUCUUCUCUCUAGUCUUUUGCAUCGUUUUGCGUGCCGAAUCCACCCCGAAGCCCCGGUAUCAUACUCUAGCCCCGAGGCAAGUCCCGAGACCCCGAAGAUCCCGAGAAGUGCGGUUCCCGAGUCGAAGCUCUGCCCGCGAGAAGUUCGAUUUUUGAGGAGAUCUUCCAGAUCUGCUGUGGAUUACUACUUCUGCAAGUCGUAGUGCUGUCCGAUCAUCUUCUGAUCAAGUGAGUGUAUACUACCUUUCAUAAACACGAUAAUAAUACGAGUUUGGUUCGAGUGUAUUAAGUAUAUUGUUGUUUAUAAGUGUGAGUGUGUAGUUAUUUUCUUCCAAAUACAAUAAUACGAAGUAUUAUAUAUAAAAUACGUGCUAUGUGUAUAUAUUUGGUUGUGUUAUGUGUGAAUGUGUAUUCACUCUCUUCUAUCUUAUAGAUCUGCUUAUUUCUUUAUGAGAUAUGUGUUAUGUGUGUGUGUGCCUCAUCUGUUAUGUGAUAUAUGUGUUGAUUAAAGCAUGCUAUACAGGUUUUCUUUAAACUAUGUAUACAAAUGUAUAUUUUUAUCUACUAAUAUGUUGGGUAGAACAUGGGUAGACAGUUGGUGUGUAAUAAACAGAUGAGAGGCCUCGUUGUUGUUUGAUUGAGUCAUCUAGCGGAGUUUAGAUGACGACCACUGGCUAUUCUAGACAGUCUUGUGGAAACAUUAGCAGGUUCGCCACCUGUAGGUGUUAAUGAACUUGGGUGUUCAUUCGCUGUACUCCAUCCCCCUCAUGGUUGCCUUAUUUGACUUAUAUUGCUGAGGUACCCCCGAAGCAUGUGUUGUCGCCCCGAUGAAAUAUUCUUAGACUAGGUCCCUUAUGUUAGUUGUUUUAGGGACAUUAAAGUGAGAAUAACGGGAAUGGGUAAUUGGGUUAUUGUUGGUUGGUGAAAAUUAAAUAUGAUAUUUAUUGUGGGUUGAAAACCCUAUAUGCUCACCAGGCUCCCAAGCCUGACCCACUCAGUUUUAAAUUGUAUUACAGGUAGUGGCGGAAGGGCAUGAGAUGGAUGAACCAUCAAGUUGUUUUGUUUACAAGUCUGCAUAUGUUUAUAUUUGUUAUAUGACUUGUAAUGUAUUCGUUUAUGCUUAUUGGUCUGUAUCGGAACAUGACACCCCGAGUUUUGAUUAUAAUGAAAAUACAUUUCUUUUAUGAAAUGCUUCGGUAAACAAUGUUUUAUCAUGUUUUGUUUUUGGGAACAAAUUCCGCAACUCUUUCAAAUCAAAAGGAUUUACUCUGAAAAUAUUUAAAAGCAUAAAUGAAAAUCGGUCUUUUCUGGCCGAGAUUUUGGGGAUGUCACAGUUGGUAUCAGAGCAUUAGUUUAAGCGAACUAGGAAUUUGUAGGAUUUCUAGACUUAAACUUAGAAUGCUAAGUGAAGUUUUGAGAUGUGUGUCUGUUGUGAUUUAGACACGAGCACUAGUUUAUUUUAGGAAAGUUGCCUAAAAUGCUUUAUGUGCUAAAUGUUAUAUGUUGCCAUAUAUGAUAUUAUUUGUUCGGAUCUAUGGUCUGUUGCCGACCGGAUCUAGAAACCUUAUGUGUGUAGGAUUCUAAGCGUACGUCUACGAUAUUAGAACUAGCAUGUAAACGUUUCGGAGUGAUAAGGAUGAUUUGAAUAUCUAUCAUGAUUGAGGAUCUAAUUUCACCUUAUUCGGUGUAGAUCAAAAUGGUGAGAACAAGAAGUGGAGUUGGAAAUGCUGACGAAAACAGGAAUCAACCACCAGUGAUUGAGCCAAUACCUGUCGUAGCAGCAGCACCUGAGCCAAUAACCAUGGCUGGUGUGCAAUUGAUGAUUCAGACGAUGUUGGAUCGUCAGAUGGAUGAAACUAGACGGUUGCUUCAACAAAAUCGUGAAGAACUGUCGAUUCGUGUGGAAGAGCCUGAACUGAAUGAAGGGCACUCGGAAGGUGGAAACUUCAGUGGGUCUGUUGGUCCAGCCAACCCACCGAUAGUUAGGCAAGAUAACCAUGAUGGAAGGAAUGAUGGAAUGGGAUGCAAGUACAAGGACUUUUUGACUUGUAAACCAUCGACCUUCAAUGGAAAGGAGGAUCCGAUUGGGGUUAUGGAUUGGAUCUCCGAAAUGGAGUUAGCCUUUAUGACAUGUGGCUGUAGAGGCAAGUUGCAGACUAUCUAUGCCGUGCGACAAUUCCGAGGUGGAGCCGUUCGUUGGUGGAACACUCUAGGGAAGACCUUAAGCCCUAAUGAGCCACUGCAAUUGUCAUGGGCAGAGUUCUUGGUGCAGUUCAAGCGCAAGUUCUGCUCGGCUCAAAAUCUGUUGGAGUUGGAGAACAAGUUUUUGACAUUGACGAAGGGUAGCAUGUCAGUGGAUGAGUACACCAAUAACUUCACCGAUAAGAUGGAGUUUGCCUUGCGUAUCGUUCCAGACGAGCUGACAAAGGUGGAUCGGUAUGCGAAGGGACUUCCAUGGGAGUACGAGGUGCCGGUACGUCAGGCACUUACUCUAGAGGCAGCUAUCUGGGCUGCCAAGUCUGUGGAGAACAUGAUCAAGGGGAGAACCACCGUCAAGGUUGAGGUUGGUGAGAAAAGGAAGUUUGAAGGAACAUCUGGUUCCAGUAAGAAGAGCAAAUUUUCGAAAUCUGAUUCGAAAAAGUUUGGAGGAAAAGGAGGCGAAGCAAAGUGGUGUGAUAAGUGUAAGAAAAAGCACUUUGGGAAAUGUAGCGAGGAUGUGACCUGCUACAAGUGUGGAAAGGUUGGACAUUUUGCCAAUGAAUGUCCGAACAACAAAAGGAUGUGUUUUGGGUGUAAUGAAGAGGGGCAUAUUUUGAAAGACUGUCCGAAGAAGAAGGAGGCAGCUAGGCCCAACAUUCCACCAAAGCCGAAGGCGAGAGCCUUCCAGAUGACACUUGAGGCUGCGAAAGAUGAAGCUGAUGUCGCUUCAGGUACCUUUCUCGUAAACGAAUUACCUGCUCAUAUAUUGUUUGAUUCUGGAGCCAACUACUCCUUUAUUUCGCAUGAGUUUGGUAGAAAGCUAGCUUUGCCUGUUGAUAGACUAGAUAAUGCUUUAUUAGUCGAAGUAGCUAGUGGCAAGUUUGUACCUGUUAGCCAUCGUAUGAAAAACGUCUUGAUCGACCUUAAUGGGAAUAAGUUUCUCGAGGAAUUAUUGCCUAUCGAACUAAAUGGUUUCGACAUCGUCUUGGGAAUGGAUUGGCUUAGCGCCAAUGAUGCCGAAAUUUUGUGCAAGAAGAAGAUAGUUAAAGUAAACCCGCCUGGGAAAGAUUCGUUUAUGGUGUAUGGGGACAAACGCAGAGUGAAUUCUGGAAUCAUUUCUCUAAUGAAAGCCAGAAAGUGUUUGACCAAGGGAUGUACAUCAUAUUUAGCAUUCGUGAUUGAUGCUAAGAAAGAAAAGAAGGUGAUGCAGAGCAUUCCAGUGGUGUGUGAUUAUCCGGAAGUAUUUCCCGAGGAUCUUCCUGGAUUACCACCUGAUAGACAAGUGGAGUUCAGAAUAGACUUGUUACCAGGAACCACGCCAAUAGCAAAAGCACCUUAUCGAUUAGCACCGACGGAGAUGAAGGAGCUGAUGAUGCAACUUCAGGAGUUAUUGGACAAAGGUUUCAUUAGACCUAGUUCAUCGCCCUGGGGAGCUCCGGUGUUAUUUGUAAAGAAGAAAGAUGGAAGUAUGAGAAUGUGCAUCGAUUACAGAGAGCUGAACAAGGCAACAAUAAAGAAUAGAUAUCCGUUGCCGAGGAUUGAUGACCUGUUUGAUCAAUUGCAAGGUUCGAGCUAUUUCUCGAAGAUCGAUCUUAGGUCAGGAUAUCAUCAGCUGAAAGUAAGAGAGCAAGAUAUCGAGAAGACUGCAUUCAGAACUAGAUAUGGACACUACGAGUUCUUGGUUAUGUCGUUUGGACUAACCAAUGCUCCAGCAGCGUUCAUGGAUUUGAUGAAUAGGGUUUGUAAUCCUUUCCUUGAUAAAUCCGUGAUAGUGUUCAUAGACGACAUUCUGAUCUACUCGAAAAGCCAGGAGGAGCAUGGCAGACACUUGCGAGAAGUGUUAGAAGUUUUGAAGAAGGAGAAGCUUUAUGCGAAGUUCUCCAAAUGUGAUUUUUGGAUUCGUGAGGUCCAAUUCUUGGGUCACGUGGUCAACCAAGAAGGGAUAAUGGUUGAUCCAGCGAAGAUCGAAGCUGUGACGAAGUGGGAACAACCGAAAAGUCCCACGGAGAUUCGAAGCUUUUUAGGAUUAGCCGGAUAUUACCGAAGGUUUAUCCAAGGCUUUUCUUCGAUUGCUACUCCAUUAACAGCUUUGACCCACAAAGGAGCUACUUAUGCUUGGAGUGAGAAGCAUAAAGAAGCAUUCGAGAAGUUAAAGAAGAAGCUAUGCGAGGCACCGAUACUUUCUCUACCCGAUGGAGUUGAAGACUUCGCUGUUUAUAGCGAUGCGUCUGGUGUUGGAUUGGGUUGUGUUUUGACCCAAAGAGAAAAGGUGAUAGCAUAUGCGUCUCGACAGCUGAAAGAGCAUGAAAAGAAUUACCCGACUCAUGAUUUGGAGUUGGCAGCGGUAGUUUUCGCUCUGAAAAUAUGGAGGCAUUACCUCUAUGGCACGAAGUGCAAACUUUUCACUGAUCAUAAGAGUCUCCAAUACCUCUUUAAUCAGAAAGAAUUGAAUAUGAGGCAACGACGCUGGCUAGAAUUACUUAAAGACUACGACUGCGAGAUACUUUACCACCCCGGUAAAGCUAAUGUUGUUGCUGAUGCUCUCAGUCGGAAAGUCAAUCUUGAAAGGAAGAGGCCAAGAGCGUUGAGAAUUGAAGUUGUCUCGACUAUUGUGGAAAGUAUAAAGAAAGCUCAAGAGGAAGCUUCUGAGAAAAAUGACCGAAAGGAGGAACGUUUGGGUAAAACGUUGGUGUUUGGUACUAACGGUCAUGGACUGAAGGUAUUCCAAGAUCGUAUUUGGGUACCUAAGUCAGGAGGAAUUAGGGAUCUUCUGAUGGAAGAAGCUCACAAAACCAUGUACUCAAUUCAUCCGGGUAGCACUAAAAUGUAUAGGGACCUGAAACCCUACUACUGGUGGCCGACGAUGAAGCUUGAUGUUGCAAAGUAUGUGGCCGAGUGUGUGACUUGUGCGAGAGUCAAGACACAACAUCAGAAACCUUACGGGAGUUUAGAACCAUUGCCUGUGCCUAUGGGUAAGUGGGAAGACAUUGCUAUGGAUUUUGUCACUAAACUGCCCAGAACAAAGAAUGGUCACGACAUGAUUUGGGUGGUCGUUGAUCGAUUCACUAAGAGUGCGCAUUUCAUAGCGGCCAGGGAGAAAUGGUCUAUGGAAAAGCUUGCGAAUUCUUACGUGAAGGAAAUUGUGAGGCUUCACGGUGUUCCGUUAACGAUUGUAUCGGAUCGUGAUAGCCGUUUCACCUCAAGGUUUUGGAAAAGUCUACAAGAGGAAAUGGGUACCAAGUUAUGUUUAAGCACAGCUUACCAUCCGCAGACUGAUGGUCAGAGUGAAAGAACAAUACAAACACUUGAAGAUAUGCUGAGAGCAUGUACCUUGGAAUUCCUAGGUAAUUGGGAUGAACAUUUACCGUUGGUAGAAUUUUCCUAUAAUAAUAGUUUUCACUCGAGCAUUAAGAUGGCACCUUAUCAAGCUUUGUAUGGACAGAAGUGUCGUACGCCGUCUUGUUGGCUUGAGGCUGGGGAAAAGCAGUUUAUGGGACCGGAGAUGGUUCAUCAAACUGCUGAAAAGUUGAAAAUAAUUAGGGAAAGAAUGUUAGCAGCUCAAGAUCGUCAAAAGAGCUAUGCUGACAAGAAGCGAAGACCGAUGACUUUUGAGGUUGGAGAUUCGGUUUUGCUUAAAGUCUCGCCGUGGAAGGGACUUAUAAGAUUUGGUAAAAGGGGAAAGUUGAGUCCAAGGUUUAUUGGACCGUUUAAAGUCCUUCAGAGGAUUGGGAAUCAAGCUUACAAGCUCGAAUUACCCGAAGAACUGAAUGGAAUUCACAACACCUUUCAUGUGUGUUAUUUGAGGAAGUUCACGGGAGAAGUUCCCGAUAUAAUUCCAAUUUCUGAAUUGAGAAUUGAUGAGAACAAAAGGUUGAUUGAAGAACCAGAGGCAAUUGUUGACCGAAAGACUAAGAAGUUGCGACGCAAAAUGGUUGGGUUAGUGCUUGUCCGAUGGAAACACACGAAUGGGCCGAAUCUCACCUGGGAGACGGAGAGUGACAUGUUGAGUCGCUAUCCGCAUUUGUUUGUUGAUGUGUGAUUCCGGGGACGGAAUCAUUCUAAGGUGGAGAGAAUUGUAACGCCUGUGUUUCCGGGCUUGCCAUUUUUAGCAAUGUAAUAGUCUAGGUUAACCUUUGUAACCCGUUUUGAAAUAAUAAGAUUGUAUUAUUUGAGUAUUAUGUGUUUUGUGCUUAAUUGCUUAAUUAUGUGGUUUGAUUAAUUAAGAAUAAAAAUAAGCGUCAAAAUUUAAGUGUAAAAUAAACUUAAUAUCUUUGGUUAAUGUUGUAGUAGUUGAAACGAGGUUUCCGAAUAUAUAUAGAACGCCCAAAUCUGACUUCGUAUGAGGAAGUUAUGAUUUAUCGAAGUUCCGGCUUAGCGAUAUACAGCCUGUUUUACUCGAUUUGAGAUCGAGCGGUUGUUAGCCGAAGCAAUCUAAAUGAGAAUCGAAGAUCUCAUUGUUGGUAUUGAAACGAUAAAAAGUUAGGCGAGAACGGACGUCAAACGAAGAAGUUAUGAAUUUAUAACGAAAGUUUCUGUCCCGGCCUAUUAAAAAUAAUUAAUAAAAAUAAAGUCAAAAUUAGCCGACGGAGUCUAAACGAAAGUCGUAGAGCGUGGUCUCACCUUCGCGUGGAUAUAAAGAACGUCGAAAACGGAGUUCGUAUGAAGAAGUUAUGAAUUUCCGAAGUUUAUUAAUCAUUUUGUAUUUAUUUUUAAUUCAAAAUUCGGAAGCAUUAUCCGAAGGAGUCACCGAUCUGAUCCGAGGUACGCCCCGCGUACUCGAGUACGCCCCGCGUACUCCGAGGGAUGUCGACACUCGCACUCGAGCACUUCGGAUACGUAAGCAAUGACGUUUUGGGCAGUACGCCCCGCGUAACGCAGUACGCCCCGCGUACUCCGAGGCUCCAGCCUCCUAUAAAUAGGAUGCGAGGGUUCCGGGUAUUUUUGCCAAUUCCCUCUCGUUUUCGUGUCGAAGCUCUGUGCAAAAACCCCCGAAGCUACCCCGAAGUCCCGGUAUCAUACUCUAGCCCCGAGGCAAGUCCCGAGAUCCUGAAGAUCCCGAAAAGUGCGGUUCCCGAGUCGAAGCUCUGCCCGCGAGAAGUUCGAUUUUCGAGAAGAUCUUCCAGAUCUGCUGUGGAUUACUACUUCUAUAAGCCGUAGUGCUGUCCGAUCAUCUUCUGAUCAAGUGAGUGUGUAGUUAUUUCUUCUAAUACAAUAAUACGAAGUAUUUUAUAUAAAAAUACGUGCUAUGUGUAUAUAUUUGGUUGUGUUAUGUGUGAAUGAGUAUUCACUCUCUUCUAUCUUAUAGAUCUGCUUAUUUCUUUAUGAGAUAUGUGUUAUGUGUGUGUGUGCCUCAUCUGUUAUGUGAUAUAUGUGUUGAUUAAAGCAUGCUAUACAGGUUUUCUUUAAACUAUGUAUACAAAUGUAUAUUUUUAUCUACUAAUAUGUUGGGUAGAACAUGGGUAGACAGUUGGUGUGUAAUAAACAGAUGAGAGGCCUCGUUGUUGUUUGAUUGAGUCAUCUAGCGGAGUUUAGAUG
This 7920-nucleotide long non-coding RNA is filed under the name Lactuca sativa (garden lettuce). RNAcentral describes it as "long non-coding RNA (LSAT_LNC003745)". The record is from RNAcentral. Lineage: Eukaryota; Viridiplantae; Streptophyta; Magnoliopsida; Asterales; Asteraceae.